CAUGUCUUUUAGAUUUUUAUUAAAAGUUGGACCUGCUCAAUGAUAGUAUUAAAUAGCUGCAGUAUUUUGACUGUACAAAGGUAGCAUAAUAAUUAGUUUUUUAAAUGGAAGCUAGAAUGAAGGGUUAGACGAAAAUAUUACUUUAUUUUGUUUAUUUAAUGAAUUUUAUUUUUAAGUGAAAAAGCUUAAAUUUUUUUAAAAGACGAGAAGACCCUAUAGAAUUUAAUUAAUUAAUAUUAAUUUUUUUUUAUUGAAUAUAUAUUUAUUUAAUGGGGUUAAUUUUAUUGGGGUAAUAGAAAGAUUUAUUUAAUUCUUUAUAUAAUUUAUUCAUUGAUAUAUGAUUUUUUUGAUUUAAGUUUAUUUUAUUUGUAGAUUAAAUUACCUUAGGGAUAACAGCAUAAUUUUUUUUUAAAGUUCUUAUUAAAAAAAGAGUUUAUGACCUCGAUGUUGGAUUAAAAUUAAAAUUUGGUGAAGUAGCUAAAUUUUUAAGUCUGUUCGUCUUUUAAAAUUUUACAUGAUCUGAGU
Molecule: ribosomal RNA, 525 nt
Filed under: Rhipiceridae sp. UPOL RK0146
Lineage: Eukaryota; Metazoa; Arthropoda; Insecta; Coleoptera; Rhipiceridae
Description: partial 16S ribosomal RNA
Source: RNAcentral